RNAcentral lists this ribosomal RNA (2893 nucleotides) under Escherichia coli 53C. Its description in RNAcentral is "bacterial LSU rRNA". It matches the Rfam family "Bacterial large subunit ribosomal RNA". Lineage: Bacteria; Pseudomonadati; Pseudomonadota; Gammaproteobacteria; Enterobacterales; Enterobacteriaceae. The record is from RNAcentral.
ACUAAGCGUACACGGUGGAUGCCCUGGCAGUCAGAGGCGAUGAAGGACGUGCUAAUCUGCGAUAAGCGUCGGUAAGGUGAUAUGAACCGUUAUAACCGGCGAUUUCCGAAUGGGGAAACCCAGUGUGUUUCGACACACUAUCAUUAACUGAAUCCAUAGGUUAAUGAGGCGAACCGGGGGAACUGAAACAUCUAAGUACCCCGAGGAAAAGAAAUCAACCGAGAUUCCCCCAGUAGCGGCGAGCGAACGGGGAGGAGCCCAGAGCCUGAAUCAGUGUGUGUGUUAGUGGAAGCGUCUGGAAAGGCGCGCGAUACAGGGUGACAGCCCCGUACACAAAAAUGCACAUACUGUGAGCUCGAUGAGUAGGGCGGGACACGUGGUAUCCUGUCUGAAUAUGGGGGACCAUCCUCCAAGGCUAAAUACUCCUGACUGACCGAUAGUGAACCAGUACCGUGAGGGAAAGGCGAAAAGAACCCCGGCGAGGGGAGUGAAAAAGAACCUGAAACCGUGUACGUACAAGCAGUGGGAGCCUCUUUUAUGGGGUGACUGCGUACCUUUUGUAUAAUGGGUCAGCGACUUAUAUUCUGUAGCAAGGUUAACCGAAUAGGGGAGCCGAAGGGAAACCGAGUCUUAACUGGGCGUUAAGUUGCAGGGUAUAGACCCGAAACCCGGUGAUCUAGCCAUGGGCAGGUUGAAGGUUGGGUAACACUAACUGGAGGACCGAACCGACUAAUGUUGAAAAAUUAGCGGAUGACUUGUGGCUGGGGGUGAAAGGCCAAUCAAACCGGGAGAUAGCUGGUUCUCCCCGAAAGCUAUUUAGGUAGCGCCUCGUGAAUUCAUCUCCGGGGGUAGAGCACUGUUUCGGCAAGGGGGUCAUCCCGACUUACCAACCCGAUGCAAACUGCGAAUACCGGAGAAUGUUAUCACGGGAGACACACGGCGGGUGCUAACGUCCGUCGUGAAGAGGGAAACAACCCAGACCGCCAGCUAAGGUCCCAAAGUCAUGGUUAAGUGGGAAACGAUGUGGGAAGGCCCAGACAGCCAGGAUGUUGGCUUAGAAGCAGCCAUCAUUUAAAGAAAGCGUAAUAGCUCACUGGUCGAGUCGGCCUGCGCGGAAGAUGUAACGGGGCUAAACCAUGCACCGAAGCUGCGGCAGCGACACUAUGUGUUGUUGGGUAGGGGAGCGUUCUGUAAGCCUGUGAAGGUGUGCUGUGAGGCAUGCUGGAGGUAUCAGAAGUGCGAAUGCUGACAUAAGUAACGAUAAAGCGGGUGAAAAGCCCGCUCGCCGGAAGACCAAGGGUUCCUGUCCAACGUUAAUCGGGGCAGGGUGAGUCGACCCCUAAGGCGAGGCCGAAAGGCGUAGUCGAUGGGAAACAGGUUAAUAUUCCUGUACUUGGUGUUACUGCGAAGGGGGGACGGAGAAGGCUAUGUUGGCCGGGCGACGGUUGUCCCGGUUUAAGCGUGUAGGCUGGUUUUCCAGGCAAAUCCGGAAAAUCAAGGCUGAGGCGUGAUGACGAGGCACUACGGUGCUGAAGCAACAAAUGCCCUGCUUCCAGGAAAAGCCUCUAAGCAUCAGGUAACAUCAAAUCGUACCCCAAACCGACACAGGUGGUCAGGUAGAGAAUACCAAGGCGCUUGAGAGAACUCGGGUGAAGGAACUAGGCAAAAUGGUGCCGUAACUUCGGGAGAAGGCACGCUGAUAUGUAGGUGAAGCGACUUGCUCGUGGAGCUGAAAUCAGUCGAAGAUACCAGCUGGCUGCAACUGUUUAUUAAAAACACAGCACUGUGCAAACACGAAAGUGGACGUAUACGGUGUGACGCCUGCCCGGUGCCGGAAGGUUAAUUGAUGGGGUUAGCGGUAACGCGAAGCUCUUGAUCGAAGCCCCGGUAAACGGCGGCCGUAACUAUAACGGUCCUAAGGUAGCGAAAUUCCUUGUCGGGUAAGUUCCGACCUGCACGAAUGGCGUAAUGAUGGCCAGGCUGUCUCCACCCGAGACUCAGUGAAAUUGAACUCGCUGUGAAGAUGCAGUGUACCCGCGGCAAGACGGAAAGACCCCGUGAACCUUUACUAUAGCUUGACACUGAACAUUGAGCCUUGAUGUGUAGGAUAGGUGGGAGGCUUUGAAGUGUGGACGCCAGUCUGCAUGGAGCCGGCCUUGAAAUACCACCCUUUAAUGUUUGAUGUUCUAACGUUGGCCCCUGAUCGGGGUUGCGGACAGUGUCUGGUGGGUAGUUUGACUGGGGCGGUCUCCUCCUAAAGAGUAACGGAGGAGCACGAAGGUUGGCUAAUCCUGGUCGGACAUCAGGAGGUUAGUGCAAUGGCAUAAGCCAGCUUGACUGCGAGCGUGACGGCGCGAGCAGGUGCGAAAGCAGGUCAUAGUGAUCCGGUGGUUCUGAAUGGAAGGGCCAUCGCUCAACGGAUAAAAGGUACUCCGGGGAUAACAGGCUGAUACCGCCCAAGAGUUCAUAUCGACGGCGGUGUUUGGCACCUCGAUGUCGGCUCAUCACAUCCUGGGGCUGAAGUAGGUCCCAAGGGUAUGGCUGUUCGCCAUUUAAAGUGGUACGCGAGCUGGGUUUAGAACGUCGUGAGACAGUUCGGUCCCUAUCUGCCGUGGGCGCUGGAGAACUGAGGGGGGCUGCUCCUAGUACGAGAGGACCGGAGUGGACGCAUCACUGGUGUUCGGGUUGUCAUGCCAAUGGCACUGCCCGGUAGCUAAAUGCGGAAGAGAUAAGUGCUGAAAGCAUCUAAGCACGAAACUUGCCCCGAGAUGAGUUCUCCCUGAGACUUUAAGUCUCCUGAAGGAACGUUGAAGACGACGACGUUGAUAGGCCGGGUGUGUAAGCGCAGCGAUGCGUUGAGCUAACCGGUACUAAUGAACCGUGAGGCUUAACC